GGUUCAGGACGAACGCUGGCGGCGUGCCUAAUACAUGCAAGUCGAACGGUCUUUCUAUGGAAGCUUGCUUCCACUGAGAAGAUAGUGGCGAACGGGUGAGUAACACGUGGGUAACCCUGCCCAUAAGAGGGGGGAUAACAUCCGGAAACGGGUGCUAAUACCGCAUAGUUUUCUUGAUCGCAUGAUCGGGAAAGGAAAGACGGCCUUUGUGCUGUCGCUUAUGGAUGGACCCGCGGCGUAUUAGUUAGUUGGUGAGGUAACGGCUCACCAAGACGAUGAUACGUAGCCGACCUGAGAGGGUGAUCGGCCACAUUGGGACUGAGACACGGCCCAAACUCCUACGGGAGGCAGCAGUAGGGAAUCUUCCGCAAUGGACGAAAGUCUGACGGAGCAACGCCGCGUGAGUGAAGAAAGGUUUUCGGAUCGUAAAACUCUGUUGUCAGAGAAGAACAAGUUGGAGAGUAACUGCUCCAGCCUUGACGGUAUCUGACCAGAAAGCCACGGCUAACUACGUGCCAGCCGCGGC
This 526-nucleotide ribosomal RNA is filed under the name uncultured bacterium. RNAcentral's name for it is "bacterial SSU rRNA". It matches the Rfam family "Bacterial small subunit ribosomal RNA", at positions 21 to 518 of the family's 1533-position model. The record is from RNAcentral.